UACGUAGGUGGCAAGCGUUGUCCGGAAUUAUUGGGCGUAAAGCGCGCGCAGGCGGUCCUAUAAGUCUGAUGUGAAAGCCCCCGGCUCAACUGGGGAGGGUCACGCGAUACUGCUCGACUCGAAGGCAGGAGAGGGAAGUGGAAUUCCCGGUGUAGUGGUGAAAUGCGUAGAUAUCGGGAGGAACACCAGUGGCGAAGGCGACUUCCUGGCCUGUUCUUGACGCUGAGGCGCGAAAGCUAGGGUAGGCAAACGGGG
Molecule: ribosomal RNA, 255 nt
Filed under: uncultured bacterium
Lineage: Bacteria
Description: partial 16S ribosomal RNA
Rfam family: Bacterial small subunit ribosomal RNA
Source: RNAcentral